UACCGUGAAGCUAAAUAGCAUCAACCUUUUAAGUUGAAGACUGAAAGCCCUAACCUUUCCACGGUGA
RNAcentral lists this transfer RNA (67 nucleotides) under Avahi laniger (woolly lemur). RNAcentral describes it as "tRNA-Lys". It matches the Rfam family "tRNA". From Rfam's summary of the family: Transfer RNA (tRNA) molecules are approximately 80 nucleotides in length. Their secondary structure includes four short double-helical elements and three loops (D, anti-codon, and T loops). Further hydrogen bonds mediate the characteristic L-shaped molecular structure. tRNAs have two regions of fundamental functional importance: the anti-codon, which is responsible for specific mRNA codon recognition, and the 3' end, to which the tRNAs corresponding amino acid is attached (by aminoacyl-tRNA synthetases). tRNAs cope with the degeneracy of the genetic code in two manners: having more than one tRNA (with a specific anti-codon) for a particular amino acid; and 'wobble' base-pairing, i.e. permitting non-standard base-pairing at the 3rd anti-codon position. Lineage: Eukaryota; Metazoa; Chordata; Mammalia; Primates; Indriidae. The record is from RNAcentral.